GUAGGAUCUGCAGAGCUUCAGCCACACAGCCUUUCCACCUGUGGCAGCUGCAGCCAAGACCCACUGAUUGAGCCCAACGAAAGAAGACCACUCUUCUGUGACCUCGGGGCUCCUUCAGGGGAAGGUCCUCCUCCACAGAACCCUCUCAUUCCAGAGCUUCCUGGAGCCAAGGAACAGAAUCCCACGGAGGGAAGGUGAACUCCAAGAGCCCCUGGCUUCUGCAGGCCCUAUGACCAGCACUAAGAAUUAGAUGGCUGUCAACUGUCACUUGUUCCCAGGGGAGUACAUGGUCAAGGUUGUAAAAUGGUGGGAGGGAUGCUCAGGUCAAAAUGGAAAACACCUCUCAGGUAUGUCCUGAGGGUAUUGUGUGCCCCUGAGUUCCCCAUCAUCCCUCCCGUGUGUCAAUUUCUUCCGGGGUUAACUCCUAAGCCACCUGCUAUGCCCAAGGGAUAUGCGAUCUCUUUUCCGGAUUAUUCUGGAGGGGCACGGGGCUUCGUGGACACCCUUGUUUCUUCUAUCUCUCCCUGCUGUCCUGUCUGCCUCCUUUCAGAUCCCUGGAGAACCUAACAGAACCAAAGGGACCUUACUGUCCAAACAGCAGCAUUUUGGAGCAAUCUCGGAAGCUUGGCCAGAGAACAGGGAGUGAGGAGGCUCAGCUCUCUUACCACUUUUCCAGGCUGUGGGGUUCCUGUGCUCGACGUGUGUGGUGAAG
This 712-nucleotide long non-coding RNA is filed under the name Mus musculus (house mouse). Its description in RNAcentral is "predicted gene 5122". The record is from RNAcentral. Lineage: Eukaryota; Metazoa; Chordata; Mammalia; Rodentia; Muridae.